RNAcentral lists this ribosomal RNA (2649 nucleotides) under Triticum aestivum (bread wheat). Its description in RNAcentral is "partial small subunit ribosomal RNA". Lineage: Eukaryota; Viridiplantae; Streptophyta; Magnoliopsida; Poales; Poaceae. The record is from RNAcentral.
AUGGUGACGGCGAGGGAGGCGAGGGAGGCGGCGGCGGCGGCCAUGGACGCGAGCAAGUACGUGCGCUACACGCCGGAGCAGGUGGAGGCGCUGGAGCGGCUCUACUACGAGUGCCCCAAGCCGAGCUCGCUGCGCCGGCAGCAGCUGGUCCGGGAGUGCGCCGUGCUGGCCAACGUCGACCCCAAGCAGAUCAAGGUGUGGUUCCAGAACCGCCGCUGCCGGGAGAAGCAGCGCAAGGAGUCCGGCCGCCUGCAGUCGCUCAACCGCAAGCUCACCGCCAUGAACAAGCUGCUCAUGGAGGAGAACGACCGCCUCCAGAAGCAGGUCUCCCACCUUGUCUACCAGAACGGAUACUACCGCCAGCAGACGCACAGCGUACGCACUCCUCCACCUCCACCCCCGGCGACGAUGAGCCCUCCUCCCUUGCGGCCGCCGAGAGCUCACGCCUUCACUCCUCCUCCUCCUCCUCUCCCGUUGCCGUUGCAGGCGGGGCUGGCCACCACGGACACGAGCUGCGAGUCGGUCGUCACCAGCGGCCAGCAGAACGUCGUCGUCGUCGUGCCGCCGCCGCCCCGCGACGCCAGCCCUGCUGGAUUGAUGUCCAUCGCCGAGGAGACACUAACGGAGUUUCUGUCCAAGGCCACCGGAACCGCCGUCGAGUGGGUCCAAAUGCCUGGGAUGAAGCCUGGUCCGGAUUCCAUUGGAAUCAUCGCCAUCUCGCAUGGCUGCGCGGGUGUUGCUGCGCGAGCUUGCGGCCUCGUAGGCAUGGAGCCUGCCAAAGUUGCCGAAAUCCUCAAGGAUCGGCCACUGUGGCUGCGUGAUUGCCGGUCUAUGGAGGUAGUAAAUGUGCUGCCUGCUGGCAGCAAUGGCACGAUUGAGCUGCUCUACAUGCAGCUCUAUGCUCCGACGACACUAGCGCCAGCUCGUGACUUCUGGUUGAUGCGCUACACAUCCAUUCUCGAUGAUGGAAGCCUAGUGGUAUGUGAAAGAUCACUCAGUAGCAAGCAAGGAGGCCCAAGUAUGCCCCUUGUGCAGCCUUUUGUUAGAGGUGAGAUGCUUCCCAGCGGUUUCUUGAUCCGGCCUAGUGAUGGUGGAGGUAGCGUGAUUCACAUCGUUGACCAUUUGGACCUGGAGCCUUGGAGUGUGCCUGAAGUUGUGAGACCACUGUAUGAAUCUUCUGCCAUGGUGGCCCAGAAGAUGUCGAUGGCGGCCUUGCGCUAUCUCAGGCAAGUUGCUCAUGAAGAUACUCAUUCUGUAAUCACUGGAUGGGGCAGACAGCCUGCAGCCUUGCGAGCUCUGAGCCAAAAGCUCACCAGAGGUUUAAAUGAAACUCUCGGUGGGCUUGCGGAUGAUGGAUGGUCCGUGAUUGAGAGCGACGGCGUAGAUGAUGUUUGUAUCUCUGUUAAUUCAUCCCCGAGUAAAGUGAUGAGUUGCACCGCAACAUUCAGUGAUGGACUGCCCAUGGUUAGUACUGGUGUUCUUUGUGCAAAGGCCUCGAUGCUAUUGCAGGAUGUGUCUCCACCAUCACUACUGCGGUUUUUGCGGGAGCAUCGGUCGCAGUGGGCUGAUAGCAGUUUAGAUGCAUUCUUUGCUUCUGCGCUGAAGCCCAAUUUCUCCAAUUUACCUAUGUCUCGUCUUGGAGGAUUUAGUGGCCAGGUUAUACUCCCUUUAGCACACACGUCUGACCCUGAGGAAUUCUUGGAAGUUAUCAAGAUAGGAAAUGCCAGUAACUAUCAAGAUACACUGAUGCAUCGCGAUCUUUUCCUCUUACAGAUGUACAACGGGAUAGACGAGAACACCAUGGGCACCUGUUCAGAGCUUAUCUUUGCACCCAUAGACGCAUCUUUCGGUGAUGAUUCUCCGCUGCUGCCUUCCGGUUUCCGCAUCAUUCCGAUGGAGUCUCCUCUUGACACGUCUAGCCCGAACUGCACGUUGGACCUCGCGUCCACCCUUGAGGUUGGAACACCCGGAAGCAGGAUACCCGGUCACUCCAGGAGUAGCUCGAAGGCUGUGAUGACGAUCGCAUUUCAGUUUGCCUUCGAGAGCCACCUGCAGGACAGCGUGGCAGCCAUGGCGCGGCAGUACAUGCGCAGCAUCAUCUCGUCGGUGCAAAGGAUAGCGCUGGCGCUGUCGUCCUCGCACCUCGUGCCACAUGGAAGCUCUCGCCUCCUACCGUCUGUAACUCCAGAGGCGGCCACGCUCUCCCGAUGGAUUGUCCAGAGCUACAGAUUUCACUUUGGGGCAGAGCUCAUCAAAGCCGCAGACGCUAGCAGCGGCGAGUCGGCGCUCAAAGCCCUCUGGCAGCAUACCAGCGCCAUCCUAUGCUGCUCUCUCAAGGCGAUGCCGGUCUUGACGUUCGCGAACCAGUCCGGGCUGGACAUGCUGGAGACGACGCUGGCGGCGCUCCGGGAGAUCACCAUGGACAAGGUGCUGGACUACGACCAGGGGAGGAAGAGCCUGCUGUGCGCGGACCUGAUGGCCAGCGUGGCGGAGCAGGGGUACGCGUGCGUCGAGGGCGGGACGUGCGCGUCGAGCAUGGGCCGGCCGGCGUCGUACGGGAAGGCGGUGGCGUGGAAGGUGCUCGACGACGGCGGCGCCGGCGCCGCCCACUGCGUCUGCUUCGCCUUCAUGGACUGGUCCUUCGUUUAG